RNAcentral lists this long non-coding RNA (3585 nucleotides) under Homo sapiens (human). RNAcentral describes it as "HSALNT0376279". Lineage: Eukaryota; Metazoa; Chordata; Mammalia; Primates; Hominidae. The record is from RNAcentral.
CAAUUGCAUGCUGCCACUCCUCUGCUUAGCAUCCUUCCAGGGUUUCCCACAGCAUUCAGAGUAGUGCCCAAACUCGUAGCCAAGCUUCCAAGACAAUGAAGACCUGGUCCCUGCAGAUUUCUCUAGGCAAAUCUCAGGACUGUAUCCCCUUCACUUAUUAAUUUCCAGCCCCUCCUCUCUGCACAUUCACAUGCCAUGCUCUUAGUUCAAUCUGCCUUAUGGCCCAUAGCAUUCCUUUUACUGGGCUGCACUUCCCUUCUGCUCUUUGCAUGUUGUCCAAAUCCUCAUUUCUCAGGCCUCAGCCUUACCUUUUAAAGCCCUUCUCUAACAACAACUACAAAAUGGUGUUUCUAUCCCUUAACCUUAUGCUAAUAUCCCCUUCAGCUAUUUUGCCCUUUGAAUUUCUUUUCUUGUUUGUUGACUGUCUUCCCCACUGGACUGAAAGCUACUUAAAGCCUGGAGCCAUGUUGGUUUUCUUUACUGUUGUCACUUCAGCACCUGGAAUGAUGCCUGGCAAUGGAAGGCAUUCAAUAAAUAUCCAUUGAAUAGACAAGAGAAAAAGAAAAAGAAAAAGAAAAACAACAGCAGUCCUUCAAGCUACAACUCAGUAGGGAAAAUAAUAAAUAAAUAAAUAAAUAAAUAAAUAAAUAAACCUAGUAACACAUUAAAUGAAUAGUUUCCAUGUACUGACUAGUUAGUAUAUACCACACACAUAGUGUGCCCAACAUUUUAUUUUAUUGCCCACAAUUCUAUAAGCAAGAUAUUACUCUCCCUGUAUAUUUUUCUUUCCCUUUCUCCCUCCCUUUACUUUCUUUCUUCCUUCUUUCCUUCUUUUCUUUCUUUCUCUUUCUUUCUUUCUUUCCUUCCUUCUCUUCUCUUCUUCUUUCUUUUCUUUCUUUCCUUUUCUUCUUUCUUUCUUAAUUUCUUUCUCCUUUCUUUCUUUCUUCCUUCCUCCCUUUCUUUACUGCUUGCCUUCUUUCUUUCUUUCUUUCUUUCUUUCUUUCUUUCUUUCUUUCUUUCUUUCUUUCUUCUCUCUCUCUCUCUCUCUCUCUUCUUUUCACAAGAUUUCACUCUGUCACCCAGGCUGGAGUACAGUGGCACAAUUAUGAUCAUGGCUCACUGUAGCCAUGACUUCCCAAGCUCAAGCAAUCCCCCGACUUCAGCCUCCAGAGUAGCUAGGACUAUAGGCAUACACCACCAUGCCCAGCUAAUUUAAAAAAAAAAAAAGUUUCCCAAAGUGCUAGGAUUACAGGCAUGAGCCACAGUGUCUGGCCAAUAUUUUUCAAACUAACUAAGAUAAAGAAAACAUGGUACUUAUAUACAAUGGAGUACUAUUCAGCCAUAAAAAAGAAUGAGAUUCUGUCCUUUGCAACAUGGAUGGAACUGGUCAUCAUUAUGUUAAGUGAAAUAUGCCAGGCACAGAAGGAAAAACAUCACAUUUUCUCACUUAUUUGUGGGUUCUAAAAAUCAAAAACAAUUGAACUCAUGGAGAUAGAAAAUAGAACAAUGGUUACCAGAGGCUGUGAAAAAUAGUGGGGGAGUGGAGGGAAGGUAGGAAUGAUUAAUGCAUACAAAACAUACAUAGUUAGAAGAAUGAAUAACAGCUAGUAUUUGCUAGCACAACAGAGGGACUAUAGGCAAUAAUAAUUUAAUUGUACAUUUACAAUAACUGAAAGAGUAUAAUUAAUAUAAUUGUUUGAAACACAAAGGAUAAAUGAUUGAGGGGAUAGAUACACAAUUUUCCAUGCUGAUUAUUACAUAUUGCAUGCCUGUAUCCAAAUAUCUCAGGUACCCCAUAAAUAUAUAUAUCUACUAGGUACCCACAAAAACUUAAAAAAACAACUAUGAAAUGAUAAAUGAUAAAUGAUUGAGGGGAUAGAUACACAAUUUUCCAUGCUGAUUAUUAUAUAUUGCAUGACUGUAUCCAAAUGUCUCAGGUACCCCAUAAAUAUAUAUACCUACUAUGUACCCACAAAACCUUAAAAAACAAACAACUAAGAAACCAGAAGCUCAGACAAAAAAAAGUACCUUGGCCAAAGUCAUAGUCGGUAAGUGGUAGAACCAGGUGUUGGUUGUAGAAGGGUUUGAAUACCAUACUGAGAAUGAAGACUUUAUUUAAUUGACAUCUAGGAAGCACUGAGGGUGUUUUGAGCAAGGUAAAAUAAUUCUUAAAAUAUCUGAUUAGUAGGAGUAUUCAUGCCCUGAAUUAUAAUAGCCAAUUGGUAGUUUCACCUUUGAAACCUAAAUGGAGCUGAUAUUCAAUUUCUCUCUCAGGCUUUGCCCAAGGACUCAAUUUCUGAUUCUACUCCCUCAAUUAAAGAGAAUUGGGUUAACUUUUUGAAUGUAAAAUUCUCCUCUGACACACAAAUAAUCACAAGGACAAUUAAAGUGAUAAAAUGUCAGGUUAAAUGGGAAAGAAAGUCAAACAUAAUUUCUUCUGAGUGUUUAUAAUUAUUUUGUGGCAUAAAAUUGUGUUCUGUGCAAAAAUUCAGAAACUUUAAUUUUUAAGAGAGAAAAAUAGCAUAAUCACUAUACUCCCUUCCUAAAUGUGUUUUUAACAUAACACAUUAUAAUUUAUGCCACAUUUUUAAUAUGAAAUAAUUUUAAUGUGUCUGGCCUGGUUCAGUCCUGUUAAACAACAAAAAAGACUGCAAAAUGUAUUUCCCCAUGUGGCUAGAUACAUUCUAACGUCGUGAAGAAACACAUUAUGUAUAUAUGUUUUUCUAUAUUCUCAAUUAUAGAUAGAAAUCCAGGCACAAAGAGAUGUAUCUUUGGGCAACACGAUAAUUUGUGAAAAGGCUACACAGUUAAACAAGCAUUUUCCAAGAUUUGAAAAACUAAUGAGGGAGUGUGAAAGCACAAAGAAAUUAAAUUGUAAGCUGUAAGGACUGACUUGAAAAUAUUAAAGAGAGGUAUAAUUCACAUAUAGUUGUGUGACUCUUUUUCCUUAAAAAUCCAUUUUGAUCAUUUUCUUAUGUCAUUAAAUAUUAUUCAUGCUGUACAAUAAAUAUAUAAUACUUCAACAUGGGGCUAUGCCAUUAUUGCUUUAACAAAGCUUUCUUUUAUAUAGCAAAACUCCUUUUCAACUUUUAUUUUUUGCUUUUUCAGUUUCAAUAAUGUAAAAAAAAUUCCACUGGGAUGAAAAAAUAUUUUUUAUUAAUCAGCUUUAUUUAGCUAUAACUUGCUUAUGAUAUAAUACACACUUUUUAAGUUUUAUUUCAAGGAGUUUGAAUUAUAUAUAUACCCAUGCAACCAUGAUUAUAGUUAGAACUCAGAGUACUCCAAUCAGACAAGUGUCCCUUAGUGUCCCCCACUUCCCUGGCCUAGGGAACCAUUGAUCUGUCACUAAAUGACCUAUGCCUAUUCUAGAAUUUCCUGUCAGUGAAAUCACACAGUGUAUAUGCUUUUGGGUUUGGCUUUUCUCAUUCAGAAUAAUGACUUUGCUAUCCAUCCAUGUUGUUAUUGUAACAAGUUCAUUGUUGCUGAGUGGCAGAUUCACAAUUUGUUUAUUCUUUCUCCCUUUGGAAUAUUUGUGUUGCUUUAGGUUUGGGUUGUUUUGAAUAAAGCCACUAUGAACAUUCGCUU